RNA transcript from Humulus lupulus (European hop), 654 nucleotides. RefSeq lists it as uncharacterized. The record is from RefSeq and is a predicted model, not a curated record. The transcript is spliced from 3 exons. Lineage: Eukaryota; Viridiplantae; Streptophyta; Magnoliopsida; Rosales; Cannabaceae.
AUUUUUAAAGUGUCCCAAUUUUAUUUUUUGCCUUGACCCCAACACUACUACAAAAUAACCUCUCGGCUCUCUCUGUGCUACAAAUGGCGGGGCUCGUGCGAAGGCUCAACGGAGCUGCAAGGGGUGCGAUGGGGCUCGGCUGUGUUUCAGACGUUACAGAGAGGGUGCUCUCGAUUGCGAAGGGCUUGCGAACAGUUGACUGCGACGGUGCUCAGGGUAACGACGUGGGUUGGGGCUCUCAACGGGGUUGGGCGGAGCGACAUGGGUUGGGGCUCUUGACGGUGGCAGCUGCAACAAGUAUAGAUGUCCAAGAAGAGCAAUAGGUGAUCAAGAAGUAAGGAACAGGGAUGAUUUUAGAAAGAAAUUCAUGGCAGCUAAUUCUUACUUUGGAAAGACUAUUGGUGACGAGAGUGAGUACAAGGACAAGAAGAAGAAAUAUAUGUUGUUUGACAAUGAAUUUAGUGUUUUAUUUUAUUUGUAAUUUUUAUUAGAAUAAAUGAUUUCUUUUUGAGUGGUUAAUUAUUUACUUUGUAAAUCUAGUUAUAUUGUAACGACCCAAAUUUACUAAUAAGGUUUAAGGGCCUUGAUUAGUGUGCCGGGAGGACAUAAUUGGAAUAUAUGUGAUUUAAUGAUUUAAAGCAUGUUAUAUGAUUA